CAAGUCCCUUUGAUCAUACACAUAAACAUAUAUCAAUAAACCUCCAAAGUGAGGCAAAUAUAAAAAUAUGACUU
RNAcentral lists this transfer RNA (74 nucleotides) under Lodderomyces orthopsilosis. RNAcentral's name for it is "Candida orthopsilosis tRNA-Leu". The record is from RNAcentral. Lineage: Eukaryota; Fungi; Ascomycota; Pichiomycetes; Serinales; Debaryomycetaceae.